RNAcentral lists this ribosomal RNA (253 nucleotides) under uncultured bacterium. Its description in RNAcentral is "partial 16S ribosomal RNA". It matches the Rfam family "Bacterial small subunit ribosomal RNA", at positions 524 to 776 of the family's 1533-position model. The record is from RNAcentral.
AACGUAGGACGCAAGCGUUAUCCGGAGUUACUGGGCGUAAAGCGCGGGCAGGCGGCUCUGCAAGUCUGAUGUGAAAGCGCUCGGCUCAACCGGGCGAGGCCAUUGGAAACUGCAGAGCUGGAGGGCAGCAGAGGUCGGCGGAAUUCCGGGUGGAGUGGUGAAAUGCGUAGAGAUCCGGAGGAACACCAGAGGCGAAGGCGGCCGACUGGGCUGCGCCUGACGCUGGGCCGCGAAAGCCAGGGGAGCGAACGGG